Molecule: ribosomal RNA, 492 nt
Filed under: uncultured bacterium
Lineage: Bacteria
Description: partial 16S ribosomal RNA
Rfam family: Bacterial small subunit ribosomal RNA
Source: RNAcentral
AGUGAACGCUGGCGGUAGGCCUAACACAUGCAAGUCGAACGGCAGCACAGUAAGAGCUUGCUCUUACGGGUGGCGAGUGGCGGACGGGUGAGGAAUACAUCGGAAUCUACUUUUUCGUGGGGGAUAACGUAGGGAAACUUACGCUAAUACCGCAUACGACCUACGGGUGAAAGCAGGGGAUCUUCGGACCUUGCGCGAUUGAAUGAGCCGAUGUCGGAUUAGCGAGUUGGCGGGGUAAAGGCCCACCAAGGCGACGAUCCGUAGCUGGCCUGAGAGGAUGAUCAGCCACACUGGAACUGAGACACGGUCCAGACUCCUACGGGAGGCAGCAGUGGGGAAUAUUGGACAAUGGGCGCAAGCCUGAUCCAGCCAUACCGCGUGGGUGAAGAAGGCCUUCGGGUUGUAAAGCCCUUUUGUUGGGAAAGAAAAGCAGCAGGUUAAUACCCCGCUGUUCUGACGGUACCCAAAGAAUAAGCACCGGCUAACUUCGUG